CGGACCUCAGAUCAGACAAGACCACCCGCUGAGUUUAAGCAUAUCACUAAGCGGAGGAAAAGAAACUAACGAGGAUUUCCCUAGUAACGGCGAGCGAACCGGAAGUAGCCCAGCU
RNAcentral lists this ribosomal RNA (115 nucleotides) under Marchesinia robusta. RNAcentral's name for it is "partial 26S ribosomal RNA". It matches the Rfam family "Eukaryotic large subunit ribosomal RNA", at positions 1 to 114 of the family's 3401-position model. Lineage: Eukaryota; Viridiplantae; Streptophyta; Jungermanniopsida; Porellales; Lejeuneaceae. The record is from RNAcentral.